AGAAGCCAGACCUGCUGUGUGCUGCUGGGCCCUCCCGGCCUUCAGAGCCCCAGCCUCACAGGUCUCUUGCCCUKCUCUGGUGGCCGCCCACAAGCAGACCAUGCAGUCCGAGAAGUUCCACUUAGCUAUGCUGCCACGUGACCAAAUGCCGCCUCUCACAUUGGUGGUUGAGAAAGAGCUGGAAUGAAGUCAUCCCUCUUCUGGUUUUGUCUUCAUCCCACAGUUUGCAAAGCUGCAGAGAGCAUCGUUGACAAUGCCUUGUGUUCUACAGCAUGCAUGCUCAGGAAGGAGCACCUGGCUGCAGAGAUUACUCAACGCGCCCGCAGAGCCCCUCAAUGCAGUGGACUGGAGGACACGGACAGGGACCUGGGCUGCUAUGUCCGGGCCGUGGGAGCCUUGCUGCCUGGACAGUGUGCCCUGAGGGGACCCCGGAUGGCAGUCAGGCACUGGCCUGGCUCAGGCCUGGCUCCGCUCUUCAGUGGUCAGCGUGAGCCCUGCCAUCCUCCUUUCUUUGUCUGUGGAUGCGGGGUCAUUGCAGUCGGCCUCAACGCCCCCUUAGCUCUUCCAUUCUCAAAUUCCAUUUACCUUUUGAUCCGGUUCCAUCCUUUUAAGUGCUGUCACCUUUGCUUACUUGUAUAA
RNAcentral lists this long non-coding RNA (639 nucleotides) under Urocitellus parryii (Arctic ground squirrel). RNAcentral describes it as "lncRNA (ENSUPAG00010016483.1)". The record is from RNAcentral. Lineage: Eukaryota; Metazoa; Chordata; Mammalia; Rodentia; Sciuridae.